GACGAACGCUGGCGGCGUGCUUAACACAUGCAAGUCGAACGAAGAGCGAUGGAAGCUUGCUUCUAUCAAUCUUAGUGGCGAACGGGUGAGUAACGCGUAAUCAACCUGCCCUUCAGAGGGGGACAACAGUUGGAAACGACUGCUAAUACCGCAUACGAUCUAAACUCGGCAUCGAGGAUAGAUGAAAGGUGGCCUCUACAUGUAAGCUAUCACUGAAGGAGGGGAUUGCGUCUGAUUAGCUAGUUGGAGGGGUAACGGCCCACCAAGGCGAUGAUCAGUAGCCGGUCUGAGAGGAUGAACGGCCACAUUGGGACUGAGACACGGCCCAGACUCCUACGGGAGGCAGCAGUGGGGAAUCUUCCGCAAUGGACGAAAGUCUGACGGAGCAACGCCGCGUGAGGGAUGACGGCCUUCGGGUUGUAAAGCUCUGUUAAUCGGGACGAAAGGCCUUCUUGCGAAUAGUGAGAAGGAUUGACGGUACCGGAAUAGAAAGCCACGGCUAACUACGUG
This 510-nucleotide ribosomal RNA is filed under the name uncultured bacterium. RNAcentral describes it as "partial 16S ribosomal RNA". It matches the Rfam family "Bacterial small subunit ribosomal RNA", at positions 28 to 507 of the family's 1533-position model. The record is from RNAcentral.